Molecule: ribosomal RNA, 460 nt
Filed under: uncultured bacterium
Lineage: Bacteria
Description: partial 16S ribosomal RNA
Rfam family: Bacterial small subunit ribosomal RNA
Source: RNAcentral
CCUACGGGAGGCAGCAGUGAGGAAUAUUGGUCAAUGGGCGCGAGCCUGAACCAGCCAAGUAGCGUGAAGGAUGACUGCCCUACGGGUUGUAAACUUCGUUUAUAAAGGAAUAAAGUGAGGCACGUGUGCCUUUUUGUACGUACUUUAUGAAUAAGGAUCGGCUAACUCCGGGCCAGCAGCCGCGGUAAUACGGAGGAUCCGAGCGUUAUCCGGAUUUAUUGGGUUUAAAGGGAGCGUAGAUGGGUUGUUAAGUCAGUUGUGAAAGUUUGGGGCUCAACCGUAAAAUUGCAAUUGAUACUGGCAGCCUUGAGUACAGUUGAGGUAGGCGGAAUUCGUGGUGUAGCGGUGAAAUGCUUAGAUAUCACGAAGAACACCGAUGGCGAAGGCAGCUUACUAAACUGCCACUGACGUUGAUGCUCGAAAGUGUGGGGAGCAAACAGGAUUAGAUACCCGUGUAGUC